GUCUACAUUGGAAGAUUUUAGAGUAGAAUUUUUUCUCCAAACCAUCCUUUAGGUCUACAUUUAAGGUGGAAUAUUCCUCCAUACUAACUUUUUUGGUCUACAUUGAAGGAUUUUUUUCUAAACCACCCUUUCGGGUCUAUAUUUGAGGUUUUUGGUGGAAUAUUCCUUUUAACCAGCCCCUCAGGUCUCUUUGAGGAUUUUGGAUGGAAUACUCUGUUAAACCAACAUUUUAGGUGCAUGUCCAAGGAUUUUUGGUGGAAUGUUCCUUUAAGGUGGAUGUGUGAGGACCUUGUAGGUGGAAUACUUCCUGAAACCCACCUUUUAGGUCAACAUUCAAAGAUUUAAGGUGGAAUAUUCCUUUAAAC
This is a long non-coding RNA of Amphiprion ocellaris (clown anemonefish), 365 nucleotides long. The record is from Ensembl. Lineage: Eukaryota; Metazoa; Chordata; Actinopteri; Pomacentridae.